UGUGCUGCAUGAAGAAGCUGCCUGUGGCUC
RNAcentral lists this non-coding RNA (30 nucleotides) under Homo sapiens (human). The record is from RNAcentral. Lineage: Eukaryota; Metazoa; Chordata; Mammalia; Primates; Hominidae.